Molecule: long non-coding RNA, 208 nt
Filed under: Lathyrus oleraceus (garden pea)
Lineage: Eukaryota; Viridiplantae; Streptophyta; Magnoliopsida; Fabales; Fabaceae
Description: Pisum sativum (pea) long non-coding RNA (PSAT_LNC035089)
Source: RNAcentral
ACUUCAUCCAGUAAUGCCACUGUGUCGGGAUGAUCUGGAGAUUCUGUCAAACGCCGGAUGAGCAGAUUCCUCUUGUGAAUGAUCCCAUCCAGUUCGUUGAUGUGUUCUCUGUAGUAAUUGCCAUCAUCUUCUCCGAAUACCUCUUCAAGUCUGGAUUUCUUCAAACUUGCCAGCGUCUUGAGUUCUUCGAUAUAUCCUUGAGCCUCAU